This is a long non-coding RNA of Saccostrea cuccullata (small rock oyster), 295 nucleotides long. RefSeq lists it as uncharacterized. Lineage: Eukaryota; Metazoa; Mollusca; Bivalvia; Ostreida; Ostreidae. The record is from RefSeq and is a predicted model, not a curated record. The transcript has 3 exons.
CAUGUAAGAAUGACUAUACCAUUACCAUAACAAGUGUGGUUGUCUCUAUUUUAAUUGUUUUGAUGGGAAGUCUCCUAAAUUUUGUUAUCUGGAGGAAAAUGCACCAGAAAGGGACAGGUGUAGACACCCCAAAUGACAAAGACUAUUACAACAAAUUCCCAGCUGUUGAUAUACGAGGAAUAUUUCGCCUUAUGCAGAACUUAGUGAACUUGACCAUCCAAACACUUAUGAAGAACUUCAUCAAAAUGCAAAAGCAGGUGAAGAAAUAUAAAUAGACGCAUUGCUUAUGUUAACA